ACUAGUACACUCUUCAGUAACAUUUCAGCCAUACGCAGAUACAUCACAGAAGACUGUUGUAAGACUCUAGUACAUGCUUUAGUAACAUCUA
Haliotis rubra (blacklip abalone) is the source of this 91-nucleotide long non-coding RNA. RefSeq lists it as uncharacterized. The transcript has 3 exons. Lineage: Eukaryota; Metazoa; Mollusca; Gastropoda; Lepetellida; Haliotidae. The record is from RefSeq and is a predicted model, not a curated record.